Molecule: ribosomal RNA, 370 nt
Filed under: Callistocypris sp. BR000796
Lineage: Eukaryota; Metazoa; Arthropoda; Ostracoda; Podocopida; Cyprididae
Description: SSU rRNA
Rfam family: Eukaryotic small subunit ribosomal RNA
Source: RNAcentral
AUGCAGGUCUAAGUAUAAGCCGAAAUAAAGUGAAACCGCGAAUGGCUCAUUACAUCAGUUAUGGUUCCUUAGAUCUUCGGUAUCCUACUUGGAUAACCCUGGAAAUUCUAGAGCUAAUACAUGCGAAUGUAGCUCUGACCUUCGGGAAUGAGCGUUUUUGUUAGACCAAAACCAAUCAGGGAGCAAUCUCUGGCUUUUUGGUGAGUCUGAACAACCUUGAGCGGAUCGCACGGUCUUGUACUGGCGACAACUCUUUCAAAUGUCUGCCUUAUCAACUUGAUGGUAGGGUUAUGUGCCUACCAUGGUUAUAACGGGUAACGGAGAAUCAGGGUUCGAUGCCGGAGAGGGAGCCUGAGAAACGGCUACCACA